RNAcentral lists this ribosomal RNA (253 nucleotides) under uncultured bacterium. RNAcentral describes it as "partial 16S ribosomal RNA". It matches the Rfam family "Bacterial small subunit ribosomal RNA", at positions 524 to 776 of the family's 1533-position model. The record is from RNAcentral.
UACAGAGGUGGCAAGCGUUGUUCGGAAUUACUGGGCGUAAAGGGCGCGUAGGCGGCCAUCUAAGUCAGACGUGAAAUCCCCCGGCUUAACUUGGGAACUGCGUCUGAUACUGGAAGGCUUGAGUAUGGGAGAGGGAUGUAGAAUUCCAGGUGUAGCGGUGAAAUGCGUAGAUAUCUGGAGGAAUACCGGUGGCGAAGGCGGCAUCCUGGACCAUUACUGACGCUGAGGCGCGAAAGCUAGGGGAGCAAACGGG